RNAcentral lists this ribosomal RNA (253 nucleotides) under uncultured bacterium. RNAcentral describes it as "partial 16S ribosomal RNA". It matches the Rfam family "Bacterial small subunit ribosomal RNA", at positions 524 to 776 of the family's 1533-position model. The record is from RNAcentral.
UACGUAGGGGGCAAGCGUUAUCCGGAAUUACUGAGUGUAAAGGGUGGGUAGGCGGCAUGGUAAGCCAGAUGUGAAAGCCUUGGGCUUAACCCGAGGAUUGCAUUUGGAACUAUCAAGCUAGAGUACAGGAGAGGAAAGCGGAAUUCCUAGUGUAGCGGUGAAAUGCGUAGAUAUUAGGAAGAACACCAGUGGCGAAGGCGGCUUUCUGGACUGAAACUGACGCUGAGGCACGAAAGCGUGGGGAGCGAACAGG